GGGCCAGUGGGCUAAUGGAUACUUAGCGUCUGACUAAUGGAUCAGAAGAUUCUAGGUUCGACUCCUGGCUGGCUCG
This 76-nucleotide transfer RNA is filed under the name Alosa alosa (allis shad). RNAcentral describes it as "tRNA-Ile". It matches the Rfam family "tRNA". From Rfam's summary of the family: Transfer RNA (tRNA) molecules are approximately 80 nucleotides in length. Their secondary structure includes four short double-helical elements and three loops (D, anti-codon, and T loops). Lineage: Eukaryota; Metazoa; Chordata; Actinopteri; Clupeiformes; Clupeidae. The record is from RNAcentral.